GGUGGCCAAGUGGUUAGAGCGUCCGCCUCUGAUGCGGGAGGUCGUGGGUUCGAUCCCCGGCAAAAUCA
Non-coding RNA from Potamilus streckersoni, 68 nucleotides. The record is from the annotation of a GenBank genome assembly. NCBI's taxonomy places the organism in Eukaryota, Metazoa, Mollusca, Bivalvia, Unionida, Unionidae.